GAGAAGACUCAGGGAUUGCCCUAGUAACGGCGAGUGAAGCGGCAACAGCUCAAAUUUGAAAUCUGGCCUUCGGGUCCGAGUUGUAAUUUGUAGAGGAUGCUUUCGGCGCGGUGCCUUCCGAGUUCCCUGGAACGGGACGCCUUAGAGGGUGAGAGCCCCGUACGGUUGGACACCAAGCCUCUGUAAAGCUCCUUCGACGAGUCGAGUAGUUUGGGAAUGCUGCUCUAAAUGGGAGGUAAAUUUCUUCUAAAGCUAAAUAUUGGCCAGAGACCGAUAGCGCACAAGUAGAGUGAUCGAAAGAUGAAAAGCACUUUGAAAAGAGGGUUAAAUAGCACGUGAAAUUGUUGAAAGGGAAGCGUUUGCGACCAGACUUUUUCUUAGCGGAUCAUCCGGUGUUAUCACCGGUGCACUUUGCUAGGUUAAGGCCAGCAUCGGUUUCCGUAGGGGGAUAAAAGCUUGGGGAAUGUAGCUCCCUCGGGAGUGUUAUAGCCCCUUGCAUAAUACCCUUAUGGGGACCGAGGACCGCGCUUUUUGCAAGGAUGCUGGCGUAAUGGUUGUCAACGACCCGUCUUGAAACACGGACCAAGGAGUCGAACAUUUGUGCGAGUGUUUGGGUGUUAAACCCUCACGCGUAAUGAAAGUGAACGGAGGUGAGAGCCCUUACGGGUGCAUCAUCGACCGAUCCUGAUGUCUUCGGAUGGAUUUGAGUAAGAGCAUAACUGUUCGGACCCGAAAGAUGGUGAACUAUGCGUGGAUAGGGUGAAGCCAGAGGAAACUCUGGUGGAGGCUCGCAGCGGUUCUGACGUGCAAAUCGAUCGUCAAAUCUGCGCAUGGGGGCGAAAGACUUAUCGUGCAUCAU
This 859-nucleotide ribosomal RNA is filed under the name Xylaria sp. RNAcentral's name for it is "partial 28S ribosomal RNA". It matches the Rfam family "Eukaryotic large subunit ribosomal RNA", at positions 56 to 943 of the family's 3401-position model. Lineage: Eukaryota; Fungi; Ascomycota; Sordariomycetes; Xylariales; Xylariaceae. The record is from RNAcentral.